RNAcentral lists this transfer-messenger RNA (346 nucleotides) under bovine gut metagenome. It matches the Rfam family "transfer-messenger RNA". Rfam says of the family: Bacterial tmRNA, also known as 10Sa RNA or SsrA, is named for its dual tRNA and mRNA-like properties. Its role is to liberate the mRNA from a stalled ribosome. The record is from RNAcentral.
GGGGGUGUAAAGGAUUCGACGGGGAUCGGGACCCGAGGUAAGCGAGCAGCGGUGCGGAACCGCUUUAAAAGCCGCAAACUUUAAAAUUAAACGACAACGAUACAGUUGCCUUAGCAGCCUAAGUGCUGCUCGUCCUGCCUGAGAGUACUGCGGCUCGGGUAAGGGCGUCGAUUAGCAGUGAACGCAUUCAGGCACACUCCUUUAACCUGUCUGUGUACUAAAGGAUACUCAAAGGGAUAGCCCGUCGUCGGGCGCUCCCCGAGGGGAAUUUCAAAUCGACGAAUACGCUCGUAGAAAGCUUCGGCAAACGGUUUUCGGACAGGGGUUCGACUCCCCUCACCUCCAC